Molecule: ribosomal RNA, 425 nt
Filed under: uncultured bacterium
Lineage: Bacteria
Description: bacterial SSU rRNA
Rfam family: Bacterial small subunit ribosomal RNA
Source: RNAcentral
UAAGAAUAUUCCGCAAUGGACGGAAGUCUGACGGAGCGACGCCGCGUGGAUGAUGAAGGCCGAAAGGUUGUAAAGUUCUUUUGCUGGGGAAGAAUAAGCCUAGGAGGGAAUGCCUAGGUGAUGACAUGAACCGGCGAAUAAGCCCCGGCCAACUACGUGCCAGCAGCCGCGGUAACACGUAGGGGGCGAGCGUUGUUCGGAAUUACUGGGCGUAAAGGGCAUGUAGGCGGUCUGGUAAGCCUGGCGUGAAAGACUGCAGCUUAACUGCAGGGAUGCGCUGGGAACUGCUGGGCUUGAGUGACGGAGAGGGAGCUGGAAUUCCUGGUGUAGGGGUGAAAUCUGUAGAUAUCAGGAAGAACACCGAUGGCGAAGGCAAGCUCCUGGCCGAUGACUGACGCUGAGGUGCGAAAGUGUGGGGAUCAAAC